AACGAACGCUGGCGGCGUGCCUAACACAUGCAAGUCGUGCGAGAAAGUUCCUUCGGGAGCGAGUAAAGCGGCGCACGGGUGAGUAACACGUAGGUAACCUGCCCCCCAGUCUGGAACAACUAGAGGAAACUCUAGCUAAUGCCGGAUGAGACCACGAUCCCUUCGGGGGUUGCGGCCAAAGAUGGCCUCUACUUGUAAGCUAUCGCUGAGGGAUGGGCCUGCGGGCCAUUAGCUUGUUGGUGAGGUAACGGCUCACCAAGGCUGUGAUGGCUAGCUGGUCUGAGAGGAUGACCAGCCACACUGGGACUGAGACACGGCCCAGACUCCUACGGGAGCAGCAGUGGGAAUAUUGCGCAAUGGGCGAAAGCCUGACGCAGCGACGCCGCGUGGGUGAUGAAGGCCUGGUCGUAA
RNAcentral lists this ribosomal RNA (411 nucleotides) under uncultured bacterium. Its description in RNAcentral is "bacterial SSU rRNA". It matches the Rfam family "Bacterial small subunit ribosomal RNA", at positions 29 to 428 of the family's 1533-position model. The record is from RNAcentral.